AUGUGAGGAGCGCCUCUGCCCGGCCGUGACCCCAUCCGGGAGGUGAGGAGCGUCUCUGCCCGGCCGCCCCGUCUGAGAAGUGAGGAGACCCUCGGCCUGGCAGCCGCCCCGUCUGAGAAGUGAGGAGCGUCACCGCCUGGCAGCCACCUCGUCUGGGAAAUGUCUCAGCGGCUCUACAAGGGAGUCCCAUUUCAGGUGUGGGGCUGGGCAUGGUCACUCCUGCUGGAUGUCUAGAAGAUGGAAACUAAGGACCUAGGAAAAUGCCAGAUACAGCCUUUCCACCCUCAUCCAGAGCAGGACAAACAGGCCAGGUGGUGUCAGGAGCCCAGGUCUCCAGCUGGAGGGAACGUCAACCCUGCAGUGGGAGCAGGGGCCCAUCGCACAUCCUAGGCACAGAUGCUAAUGUAGGCACUGCAGGUAAGCUGGGCUUGGUACCCUUCCCUGGCUUCAGAAAGAAGCCAACAAGGAGCGUUUUGCAGAAUGAAACCUCUUUUCCAUCCAGAAGCACUGCUGACUGUAGGUGGUUGCCGUUUGUGGCAGUGAGCAUUUUGUCCAUUCUGAGGUUGGAUUGGUUUCUUCUUUUGGCCUUGCCCUGCCCUACAGACCAUAAAGGAGAACAGCAAGAGGCCCCCAGCAAACAUCCACAGAUGGCCCUGGACAUCAGCCACAUUCUGAGAAACAUGUCAUGUUCUGGGAGGGCUAAGGCAUCAACCUUACCCUGUAGGAAUUCUAGUGACUAUGUUGCCACCAUCUUGGAGCUCCAUGCCCUCAUAGUGUAAUGGCACCAGCAGAUCUGCCUGUGCAUGGACUUCCUGUACUACCUCACUCCUGAGGGGAGAUGUUUCUGCAGGGCCUAUGACCUGGUGCACAACUUUAGACACCAUCAUCCUGGAGCAGCACUGCACCCUCACUAGCCAGAGUGUUGACAUCCUCAAGGCCAGGGCCACAUUCAAGACUUUGGACUUCAUUGAUGCACUUGUGCUGAGCAAGAUCCUGGUCAGAGUAAAACAUUCCAUGGGAACUCGGGCUGUGAGAAACAUCCUAACCACCUGACUGCAGAAACAUCCUUAUCACAUCCUGCUGGGCAAGGGCCCAACAGCCUGACUUCAGGAACAUCCUUAUCAUCUUCUACUGAGCAGCAAGCUAUACUGUCCAGAGCCCUCCCUCCCAGCCCCAUGAUUACCCCAGCCUGUAAGUGGCAGUGGGCGCUGACACUAAGCUGGUUUCC
RNAcentral lists this long non-coding RNA (1228 nucleotides) under Homo sapiens (human). RNAcentral's name for it is "non-protein coding lnc-ANKRD18B-6:2". The record is from RNAcentral. Lineage: Eukaryota; Metazoa; Chordata; Mammalia; Primates; Hominidae.